Molecule: ribosomal RNA, 539 nt
Filed under: uncultured bacterium
Lineage: Bacteria
Description: bacterial SSU rRNA
Rfam family: Bacterial small subunit ribosomal RNA
Source: RNAcentral
GAGGAAUAUUGGUCAAUGGGCGAGAGCCUGAACCAGCCAAGUAGCGUGCAGGAUGACGGCCCUAUGGGUUGUAAACUGCUUUUGUAUGGGGAUAAAGUCAGUCACGUGUGAUUGUUUGCAGGUACCAUACGAAUAAGGACCGGCUAAUUCCGUGCCAGCAGCCGCGGUAAUACGGAAGGUCCGGGCGUUAUCCGGAUUUAUUGGGUUUAAAGGGAGCGUAGGCUGGAGAUUAAGUGUGUUGUGAAAUGUAGACGCUCAACGUCUGACUUGCAGCGCAUACUGGUUUCCUUGAGUAUGCACAACGUUGGCGGAAUUCGUCGUGUAGCGGUGAAAUGCUUAGAUAUGACGAAGAACUCCGAUUGCGAAGGCAGCUGACGGGAGCGCAACUGACGCUGAAGCUCGAAGGUGCGGGUAUCGAACAGGAUUAGAUACCCUGGUAGUCCGCACAGUAAACGAUGGAUGCCCGCUGUUGGUACCUGGUAUCAGCGGCUAAGCGAAAGCAUUAAGCAUCCCACCUGGGGAGUACGCCGGCAACGGUG